RNAcentral lists this ribosomal RNA (433 nucleotides) under uncultured bacterium. Its description in RNAcentral is "partial 16S ribosomal RNA". It matches the Rfam family "Bacterial small subunit ribosomal RNA", at positions 29 to 507 of the family's 1533-position model. The record is from RNAcentral.
AACGAACGCUGGCGGCAUGCCUAACACAUGCAAGUCGAACGAGACCUUCGGGUCUAGUGGCGCACGGGUGCGUAACGCGUGGGAACCUGCCCUUAGGUUCGGAAUAACUCCCCGAAAGGGGUGCUAAUACCGGAUAAUGUCUUCGGACCAAAGAUUUAUCGCCUUUGGAUGGGCCCGCGUUGGAUUAGCUAGUUGGUAGGGUAAAAGCCUACCAAGGCGACGAUCCAUAGCUGGUCUGAGAGGAUGAUCAGCCACACUGGGACUGAGACACGGCCCAGACUCGUAAGGGAGGCAGCAGUGAGGAAUAUUGGACAAUGGGAGAAAGACUGAUCCAGCAAGGCCGAGUGAGUGAUGAAGGCCUUAGGGUUGUAAAGCUAUUUUACCCGGGAUGAUAAUGACAGUACCGGGAGAAUAAGCUCCGGCUAACUCCGUG